AAGCUCGUAGUUGAAUUUCGGGGUUAGUAGGUUGGUCAUGCCUCUGGUAUGUACUGGUCUCACUGAUUCCUCCUUCCUGAUGAACCGUAAUGCCAUUAAUUUGGUGUUGCGGGGAAUUUGGACCGUUACUUUGAAAAAAUUAGAGUGUUUAAAGCAAGCUAACGCUUGAAUACAUUAGCAUGGAAUAAUGAAAUAGGACGUUCGAUCCUAUUUUGUUGGUUUCUAGGAUUGACGUAAUGAUUAAUAGGGAUAGUUGGG
Molecule: ribosomal RNA, 258 nt
Filed under: uncultured Glomus
Lineage: Eukaryota; Fungi; Glomeromycota; Glomeromycetes; Glomerales; Glomeraceae
Description: partial 18S ribosomal RNA
Rfam family: Eukaryotic small subunit ribosomal RNA
Source: RNAcentral